RNAcentral lists this ribosomal RNA (251 nucleotides) under uncultured bacterium. RNAcentral's name for it is "partial 16S ribosomal RNA". It matches the Rfam family "Bacterial small subunit ribosomal RNA", at positions 74 to 339 of the family's 1533-position model. The record is from RNAcentral.
UUGAGUUUACUUAAUUAAUGGAAAGCGGCGGACGAGCGAGUAACACGUAAGAACCUGCCCUAUACUCAGGGAUAACGGCUCGAAAGAGUCGCUAAUACCGGAUGGUCUCGAAAGAGUAAAGAUUUAUCGGUAUAGGAGGGGCUUGCGGCUUAUCAGUUAGUUGGUGGGGUAAAAGCCUACCAAGACUAUGACGAGUAGCUGGUGUGAGAGCAUGACCAGCCGCGAUGGGACUGAGACACGGCCCAUACUCC